AAUGGUGGUUAUUUCACUCUUUAAGAGGGGUUUCACUCUAGGACAGAGUGAAAAAUCUACCGGUUUAUCGAAACAGAAAAAUUCUUUUCCAGGUCAAGAUGAAUAAUUGGCUUGUCAACUGGUGCAUUAGGAUUGAUAUAUUACCUUUAAGUAUUUCCGAUCGAUUCUUACAAUAUAUCAUGUGUUUCCGCUGGAUUACUAAAAAUCUACUUAUAUUGCCAAGAUGAAAGAAAACCUCAUGCGUGGACAGCCAUAGGUUGAAUUUGCAAUGGUUACAAUUUGCAAAAUGGCUGUAUCAAAUGGCAUCUCUCAACAGAGUCAAUUGGUCGCUCUGUACAAAGACCAAAAUGAGUCCGUUGGAAUUGAAGUAGCUCAAAAGAAGGGCGACAAGCUAGGAUUGGGCUUCUGGUAAAAUCACUACGGAAGCCAUUUUGUUUUGUUUACUUCUUUCAAAUGAAAGAGUAACAAUGUCUCUGUAAAAGGUUCAGAGAAAAUGUUAACAAUUGUGUUUAUUAUAAUGGUUGCAUGCAUGUUCAACAAUAUUCAUAAAAUAUUAUUCUUUUAAGACAGUUAUUGCUUUGCAUCAAUAGUACAUUCUACAUUUAAUUAAUGUGUUGGUGUAAAGUAUUCAUAUAUUUUUCGCUGCUGUGUAUAAAAAUUGCCCGGAACCAUUUAGAAAAAAUAUUGAAAACCCUGAUUUUUGCUGAGGAAAAAAAAGAAGUGAAAUGUCUAUGGAGGUGAUUCUACAUUGGAAAAAGUCAUUCAUGUCUGAUGGAUCUUCAUCACUACUUUGCACUGAUCCCAAGUAAUCAGCGUUACCAUGGAAACCUUCCGAUCGUCUUCUAAGUAAAUUUACACAUGGGUUCACGAUGGGUUGCACCCUGCCUGCCACAGCUUAACCCGACACAGUCGCCAUCAUGAGAAGAAGAGAGCGAGCAUGUUACGUCAUCACGAAGGGGACCUUGCACUAUGCAUGCAUGGAGAUUGCAUUCAUUAAUGAAACCUGGGAGGAGGGGAGUGUGAAACAAGGACAUCCAAUGUGAUGAUUAAAUGAUGAGUCUGGCACCAUACUGCUGAUAUUGAUAGCAAGGGAUGCUGAACCUGGCACCAUACUGUUCCAAUGUCGACAUGCCUGGAUGGCUAGCAGUGAAUGUUGAGCUAUGUAUUCCACCAACUGAACGUUUAAAUGUCAACAGAAACCAUGCAUGACGAAUCAAGGGACAGAACAUGAUGCCAAGCCAACGCUGAAUGCAAUCUAAUACAGUCAGACAAGUCCUGUCCAGCCAUUUGCCACACCAAAAAUGCAGGAAUGGUUGACAAGCGGCUGAGUGAGUCUGCCAACUGCGGAUAUGACGUUGACUGCCGACACUGCGUACUUUGCGCAUACCAACAAGGAACAUGACAUGCAAGGAGAUUGGAGUUCAACUGUCAAGUACCUUGCCUGGAUCUACCACCAGGGAGUCCCACGAAGCUUGGAGAAGUUCAAAGAGUAGGACUACACACUCAACGCACACACACACAGCCCUAGACCGGAGACAGAGCACGACGAGCAAGCCGCCGCGGGACAGGCAGCACCAACCCAUGUGGGAGCCAGGUCGGAUGCAAAGAGAGAUGGUUGGAGGCAGGGCAUCUUUCUCAUCGACGUAAGCACUGAUACCAUGGUGACACAGGAUGCCUUGAGAUUUACAGAAUGUCUGGGAUGUUGCCAGCUUAAGAAGCAUCAACUUGUCUGCAGCGGCUAGAAUUAUGUCAGGCAAAUUUUCACACUUUUUUUUUCUUAUACUUUUUUUUCCCUUUUUUCUUCUCUCCCCUUCUUAAAUCCAGUCUGAUAAUUAUGAAGUAGUUGCCUUUUUUUUACUAAGAGCUUAUUCAUCGCCAGUACUCAUCCACUGUAAUGUGUAGAGAUAUGUUAAAAGAGAAAAUAUUUUAAAGGAAAGUUGGAAGACAUCGGGCAAUUUCUUCGUCUCUCCCCUUCUUAAAGGAACACGUUGCCUUGGAUUGGACGAGUUGGUCUAUAAA
Long non-coding RNA from Asterias rubens (European starfish), 2019 nucleotides. RefSeq lists it as uncharacterized. NCBI's taxonomy places the organism in Eukaryota, Metazoa, Echinodermata, Asteroidea, Forcipulatida, Asteriidae. The record is from RefSeq and is a predicted model, not a curated record. The transcript is spliced from 3 exons.